RNAcentral lists this ribosomal RNA (430 nucleotides) under uncultured bacterium. RNAcentral describes it as "bacterial SSU rRNA". It matches the Rfam family "Bacterial small subunit ribosomal RNA", at positions 355 to 776 of the family's 1533-position model. The record is from RNAcentral.
UAGGGAAUAUUGCGCAAUGGGGGAAACCCUGACGCAGCGACGCCGCGUGAGUGAUGAAGGCCUUCGGGUCGUAAAGCUCUGUCAGCAGGGAAGAAUCGGUUUCGUUUUAAUAGAGCGGAGCCUUGACGGUACCUGCGGAGGAAGCACCGGCUAACUACGUGCCAGCAGCCGCGGUAAUACGUAGGGUGCAAGCGUUGUUCGGAAUUACUGGGCGUAAAGCGCGUGUAGGCGGUUUAUUAAGUCGGUUGUGAAAUCCUGCAGCUUAACUGCAGAAUUGCAUCCGAAACUGGUAGACUUGAGUACGGGAGAGGGUAGUGGAAUUCCUAGUGUAGUAGUGAAAUACGUAGAUAUUAGGAGGAACACCAGUGGCGAAGGCGGCUACCUGGACCUGUACUGACGCUGAGAUGCGAAAGCGUGGGGAGCAAACAGG